This 442-nucleotide ribosomal RNA is filed under the name uncultured bacterium. RNAcentral's name for it is "partial 16S ribosomal RNA". It matches the Rfam family "Bacterial small subunit ribosomal RNA", at positions 338 to 795 of the family's 1533-position model. The record is from RNAcentral.
CCUACGGGAGGCAGCAGUGGGGAAUAUUGGGCAAUGGGCGCAAGCCUGACCCAGCAACGCCGCGUGAAGGAAGAAGGCUUUCGGGUUGUAAACUUCUUUUAAGAGGGAAGAGCAGAAGACGGUACCUCUUGAAUAAGCCACGGCUAACUACGUGCCAGCAGCCGCGGUAAUACGUAGGUGGCAAGCGUUGUCCGGAUUUACUGGGUGUAAGGGGCGUGCAGCCGGGAAGACAAGUCAGAUGUGAAGUCCCGCGGCUCAACCGCGGAACUGCAUUUGAAACUGUUUUUCUUGAGUACCGGAGAGGUGAUCGGAAUUCCUUGUGUAGCGGUGAAAUGCGUAGAUAUAAGGAAGAACACCAGUGGCGAAGGCGGAUGACGGGACGGCAACUGACGGUGAGGCGCGAAAGCGUGGGGAGCAAACAGGAUUAGAUACCCUAGUAGUC